CUACGACACGUGUUACAAUGGUCGGUACAGAGGGCAGCGUACCUGGUGACAGGGAUGCUAAUCUCGAAAACCGGUCUCAGUUCGGAUCGAAGUCUGCAACUCGACUUCGUGAAGCUGGAUUCGCUAGUAAUCGCGCAUCAGCUAUGGCGCGGUGAAUACGUUCCCGGGCCUU
RNAcentral lists this ribosomal RNA (172 nucleotides) under uncultured Sphingobacteriales bacterium. RNAcentral describes it as "partial 16S ribosomal RNA". It matches the Rfam family "Bacterial small subunit ribosomal RNA", at positions 1214 to 1382 of the family's 1533-position model. The record is from RNAcentral. Lineage: Bacteria; Pseudomonadati; Bacteroidota; Sphingobacteriia; Sphingobacteriales.